UAAAAUUUAUGAUAAAAGGGAUGAUUUUUCAUUUCCUAUCGUUAAUUAUCCGUUUUUAGAUGGUGACGUUCCCUUGUCACCAUCUUACGGUGUUUAUAUAUCUCAACUUGUACGAUUCGCUCGUGUAUGUAACAAUGUUUUCGAUUUUAACGAGAAAAAUUUAUGUAUUACUGAAAAAUUAUUACACCAGGGUUUUCGAUAUCACAAACUAGUCAAAACAUUUACUAAAUUUUAUCAUCGGUAUAAAGACA
This 251-nucleotide long non-coding RNA is filed under the name Mytilus galloprovincialis (Mediterranean mussel). Lineage: Eukaryota; Metazoa; Mollusca; Bivalvia; Mytilida; Mytilidae. The record is from RNAcentral.